Pan troglodytes (chimpanzee) is the source of this 2018-nucleotide long non-coding RNA. RefSeq lists it as uncharacterized. Lineage: Eukaryota; Metazoa; Chordata; Mammalia; Primates; Hominidae. The transcript has 3 exons. The record is from RefSeq and is a predicted model, not a curated record.
GCUGGCCCAGGCCCAGGGCAGGCUCGCCUCUGACUCUGCAGGGACAUUCUUCCCUCCCAGCCAGCAGGGAACUUCUGGAACUUCUAAACAGCACAUCCUCGAGCCAGCCCAGGCCCCCACGGCAUCCUGCACCCCAGGUUUACAAGCUUUUUAAUGGAAGAUAACUUUGGCAGCACAAUGGGAAGAAGAUUGGAUGGGAGAGAGAUCAAAGGCUGGGAGACUCUAAGAGGCUGUUGCAGUAUAGUCCAGAGACAGAGUCUCACUCGGUCACCCAGGCCAGAGUGUAGUAGUGCGAUCUCGGCUCACUGCAGUCUGAACCUCCUGGGCACAAGCAAUCCUGCUGCCUCAGCCUCUCAACAACCUGGGACCACAGGUGCAAGCCAUCACACUCAGCUAAUUUUUAACUUUUUUGUAGAGACUUGGGUCUCGCCAUGUUGCCCAGGCUGGUCCUGAACUCCUGGUCUCAAGCAAUCCUCCCACCUCGGCCUCCCAAAAUGCUGGGAUUACAGGUGUUAGCCUCCGUGCCCGACCGGCCUUCACUUUUCACUUGGCCCUCCCACUUUUUCUCUCUUGUCAUUUGUUCAUUGAGGAUUCUGCAUCAUUUGUCCUACAGAAUUUCCCAAAUUCUGGAUUUUGCUGAUGAAAUCCCCCGACCACCACCACCAUUUACCAUCCCUAUCUUCCUCCUGCAUUUCCUGUAAACUGGUGGCUGAUUAUAAAAUUCUUCUCCUUUUUAACAGAAGCAGAGGGAGAAGGAAAGGGGGAAGGGAAUUAUUUAUCAACACCUACUGUGUGCCAGGCACUGUGUGGGUUCUUGUAUAAACAUGAUCUCAUUUAAUCCUCACUGAUACCCUUUGAGGUGAAUAUUUAUUAUCACUAUUCUUACAGAUGAGGAAACUGGGACUCAGAAAAUCUGAGUCUCACAAACUGAUCUGACAAAACUGGAAAAUGAAGGAACCAGGGUUGGAACCUGGCUGUGUUUGACUCCAGAGCCCCUUCUCAUUGCACUACACAGCCCCGGAGUGAAAAGGGGUUUGGCACAUUAGUGAUGGUGCAGGAAGGAGGUCUAGAUAGCCUGAGUCCUGGGACUAUUAUUCAUACUGUUCAGUGUUAAUAAUACACAUUGUGACUUCAUAUGUGCCAAGUACCUUACAUGCAUCACGAGGAUCUGGACAAUGGAUGCUUUAUUAUCCCCAUUUUACUGGUGGGGAAACUGAGACAGUGAGGUCCAGAAAGGGCAAGUGGCUUGCUCUGGGCAGUGCAGGUGGUCUCACCAGGUUUUGCUCCCAGGUUUGUCUGCCAGUGGAGCCCCUGUUUCCACCACUGUCCUACAUGGCCUCUCCUCACGAAUGGCUCCAACCUCCUGGAUGCGAUGGAUGAAGCCGGGUGCAGAGAUGGAAAGUGCAGCCCAACUUUCCUAACUGGAGGACUGAAGCGAGAGCUCUCACUGUCGGCCUAGUGUGGAUUGACUCCUUUCCACCACAUUCCCCAACCAAGGACAGUCUAUACCAAGCUCACAGCACUGAGGCGCUGGGGGACGGCCAGCCCACACCUAGCCCCGUCAAUCUUGGUGGCAUGGACUCCCUCCUAAAGCUUUCUCAGGAGGCCCCAUUUCCUACUGCAGCGGGGCAAGAAUUCAGGAGGAGCCCACUCAAAGGGGAGACAGAGUCAGUGCUCCCUGUGAGCAGCUCUUCCUCCCCAGAGCUGUCAUGGACAAUUGGAGAGAAAAACCGGGACAUUCUCCCCCACCAGGAUAUUUUGUAUGCUUUGCACUUACUGCUGCGUUCCCUUCAUCUAAAAGCUCUAAAAUUUCAAAUAAAAAGGUACAAUGAAAGCAGCAGCAGGAUAAAUAGCCACAGUGAUCUGAGCUGAAACCCUGGAAGCUUUAUUCACAUCUUUAGAAAAACUCUGAAGGCUCCUAGUAGCAGCUGCAGUACAAAGCCUCACACUUUAAUUCUAAGGCUGCCAGAAAUAGGUCUGUCAGGCCUGAAAUAUCACUGCAUUUCAUUACUCUUAAA